This 112-nucleotide small RNA is filed under the name Pseudorhizobium banfieldiae. Its description in RNAcentral is "Rhizobium sp. NT-26 Alphaproteobacterial ar14". It matches the Rfam family "Alphaproteobacterial ar14". From Rfam's summary of the family: Smr14C2 was renamed NfeR1 (Nodule Formation Efficiency RNA) highly expressed in salt stress and during the symbiotic interaction on legume roots. The record is from Rfam by way of RNAcentral. Lineage: Bacteria; Pseudomonadati; Pseudomonadota; Alphaproteobacteria; Hyphomicrobiales; Rhizobiaceae.
ACCAUUCGGCGGCGCUCCUCCUCCUCGCGUGCCGCCGGAGACUGGCGCCUCCUCCUCGACUGCCAGUCCUGCAAAUAGCGCCUGCCGAAUCCUCCCCCGGCAGGCGCUAUUU